Molecule: ribosomal RNA, 253 nt
Filed under: uncultured bacterium
Lineage: Bacteria
Description: partial 16S ribosomal RNA
Rfam family: Bacterial small subunit ribosomal RNA
Source: RNAcentral
UACGAAGGGGGCUAGCGUUGCUCGGAAUCACUGGGCGUAAAGGGUGCGUAGGCGGGUCUUUAAGUCAGGGGUGAAAUCCUGGAGCUCAACUCCAGAACCGCCUUUGAUACUGAAGAUCUUGAGUUCGGGAGAGGUGAGUGGAACUGCGAGUGUAGAGGUGAAAUUCGUAGAUACUCGCAAGAACACCAGUGGCGAAGGCGGCGAUCUGGGAAGAUACUGACGCUGAGGUGCGAAAGCGUGGGGAGCAAACAGG